AAUGAACGCUGGCGGCAUGCCUAAUACAUGCAAGUCGAGCGGACGAACGAAGAGCUUUCUUCUCUGCAGUUACGGACGGACGAGUAAGUAACAGGUAGCUACCCGACAUAUAGGACUAGGGUACCUUCACGAGUGCUAAUAUCACACACGUCCAUAUUUUGAACCGCAUGGUUCAUCGGACAUCGACCUAUUAGAUGUCCCUCGGUCGGAUUAGCUAGUUGGUUUGGUAAAGGCUUACCAAGGCGACGAUCCGUAGCAGACCUGAGAGGGUGAUCGGCCACACUGGAACUGAGACACGGUCCAGACUCCUACGGGAGGCAGCAGUAGGGAAUCUUCCGCAAUGGGCGAAAGCCUGACGGAGCAACGCCGCGUGAGUGAUGAAGGUCUUCGGAUCGUAAAACUCUGUUAUUAGGGAAGAACAUAUGUGUAUGUAACCGUUGACGUCUUGACGGUACCAAAACAGAAAGCAACGGCUAACUACGUG
RNAcentral lists this ribosomal RNA (484 nucleotides) under uncultured bacterium. RNAcentral's name for it is "partial 16S ribosomal RNA". It matches the Rfam family "Bacterial small subunit ribosomal RNA", at positions 29 to 507 of the family's 1533-position model. The record is from RNAcentral.